This 492-nucleotide ribosomal RNA is filed under the name uncultured bacterium. RNAcentral's name for it is "partial 16S ribosomal RNA". It matches the Rfam family "Bacterial small subunit ribosomal RNA", at positions 29 to 507 of the family's 1533-position model. The record is from RNAcentral.
AGUGAACGCUGGCGGUAGGCCUAACACAUGCAAGUCGAACGGCAGCACAGUAAGAGCUUGCUCUUACGGGUGGCGAGUGGCGGACGGGUGAGGAAUACAUCGGCAUCUACUUUUUCGUGGGGGAUAACGUAGGGAAACUUACGCUAAUACCGCAUACGACCUACGGGUGAAAGCAGUGGAUCUUCGGACCUUGCGCGAUUGAAUGAGCCGAUGUCGGAUUAGCUAGUUGGCGGGGUAAAGGCCCACCAAGGCGACGAUCCGUAGCUGGUCUGAGAGGAUGAUCAGCCACACUGGAACUGAGACACGGUCCAGACUCCUACGGGAGGCAGCAGUGGGGAAUAUUGGACAAUGGGCGCAAGCCUGAUCCAGCCAUACCGCGUGGGUGAAGAAGGCCUUCGGGUUGCAAAGCCCUUUUGUUGGGAAAGAAAAGCAGCAGGUUAAUACCCCGCUGUUCUGACGGUACCCAAAGAAUAAGCACCGGCUAACUUCGUG